This 301-nucleotide ribosomal RNA is filed under the name uncultured bacterium. RNAcentral describes it as "partial 16S ribosomal RNA". It matches the Rfam family "Bacterial small subunit ribosomal RNA", at positions 509 to 807 of the family's 1533-position model. The record is from RNAcentral.
CAGUCGCCGCGGUAAUACGAGGGGGGCAAGCGUUGUUCGGAAUUAUUGGGCGUAAAGGGUGCGUAGGCGGUUUGAUAAGUCUUGUGUGAAAUCUAUGGGCUCAACCCAUAGUCUGCAUAGGAAACUGUCGGGCUUGAGAGUGGGAGAGGUGAGUGGAAUUUCCGGUGUAGCGGUGAAAUGCGUAGAUAUCGGAAGGAACACCUGUGGCGAAAGCGGCUCACUGGACCAUUUCUGACGCUGAGGAGCGAAAGCGUGGGGAGCGAACAGGAUUAGAUACCCCCGUAGUCCCUGUCUCUUAUAC